RNAcentral lists this unclassified non-coding RNA (1330 nucleotides) under Hevea brasiliensis (rubber tree). Lineage: Eukaryota; Viridiplantae; Streptophyta; Magnoliopsida; Malpighiales; Euphorbiaceae. The record is from RNAcentral.
GCUGCCGAAAUUAGUGAGCAUCCCCAUUAUAAAUUUCUCAUACACAGUCAUUUCCUUGCGAAUUUGGUCCUCAACAGAGGCUACAGAUCUCUCUCCCUCCUCAUCACCAACUAGCAGUUCCUCACAACUCCCACUGUUACCACCAUUCUUACUAGCAUCAACCAUGCCUUCCACAAGGGUAAAUACAUGAUCAUUAGCAUCUGCCCCAAUUGAUUCGGCAAGAAUUCCCUUACUUAUCCAAAAAUUUAUCCUUCGAUUGAGUACAUCCACUGGUACCCCAAUAGCAGAUGCAAGCUUACUUGCGGUCCAACUCGUGUGAUCUUGAAAUUGCAUGAUAAUUGCAGCAUGUACAGGUGAUACUGUAAACGGCAUUGCUCUAUCUUCAAAUUGCAACUCCAGCUUCACAGUGCCAAGAUUUUUCUUCCAAAGUAACUUACGAGGAGUCUUGAUUUCGUGAAACCUAUUGGCAUAAUCAGUGAGCAGUUUUUCAACAGGCUCAGGUACAUUAAGUGCUUCGUCCUGGAUUGGAGGCCAAAAAUUUGAGGAUAUAAUGGUGGCAUCAAGAACAUCCAGAGAUACUCCUGUUUCUUGCUGCUCUUGUCCUGUUUGAGUUGACUGUAUUGUUGCUUUGAUAUUAUGGUUUGUUCUCUUGGAAUCAAUCAAAUCAUUAAGCAUAAUUUCACACCUCUGCAUACUGCUGUCUCCAAAAUGUAUCUUGAGAAGUUCCAAAGUUCUUAUCUCUGAGUCAAUGUCAUAAUCAGAUUUGUUGAGAAGCUUUUCAGCAAGCAUCANCAGCAAGCAUCACACGAUAUUCAUUAACAAGUUGGUCUUUUGAACCAAUUAUGCCAACAAUCAUCCCCAGUAUGUCAACCUUCCUUUGAGUCCUACUGCCCUUUGAUGGAUCAGCCUCUACAGGAUCAGGCUCCCAGCGUAAAGCGUUGAUCCAUGNCGCUUGUCAUCAGUGUGGAAGUCAUCAUCAGCAACAGCAUUUUCUUGACUUUCCUCAUCUCUAUUUAAUUCCUCAAGAAGGCUAUCCCCAGUAAUUCCAGAUCCAUUUGGGUUCCCCCCAGUCCCAUCAGUUAGCAUGGUUACAAUGCACUUUAUGGUGUCUUUCCUACCCCUUAAAUAAUCUCUUAUUGGCUCACCAACUGCUUCAAGAAAGACACCAGCAGGAUCAAUAGUACGCAGUGCUUUAAUAGUUGAAACAUACUGAUGCAGUAUGUCAUUGGUUGAGGCACCCGCAGUGAGUAAGCGAUAUCUCAGUGAAGAAAUGAAUGACUCAACCAACUUAGAAUGUUGUCCAGUAUAUUCAAGGCACUGUUUUAAGUCC